UUGAUACAUGGAAAAUAACCGGUUAAUUUUGUAAGUAUAAGGUAAGGGCAGAGGUCACUUCCUGUUUUGAGUAGUAAGGUCAGAGAAGCUGCUUAUGGUGACGGUCUAGCCGUGUGAAUGUUAAAGAAGAAAUAAGUCCUAAGUUCCAAUACACCGGUUUGUCUACUUGCAGGCCAAAGUGUUCUACGGUGUACCUGUGUACGUUAAAGAAGCACAGUAAACAUCAGUGAAGAAGAACUCUCGUGUCUCUCGUGUCUCAAGCCGGCAUAGCGUUAUAGCGAGGGACCACUACAAUUUUAAAGACAUGAUUUUGGAGAAUAUCUUCGCAGUAGCGAUUGACCGCAAAGAAAAGGUACUGGAAAUGUACAACCCUGCAUCCGGUCUCAAACCAGGAAGUUAGCAUUUUGUCGGAGAAGGGUCUGGCUGCAGCCACUGGGGAGCGCCAUAUUGCGACCUCCACAGUAACCGGAAACAUGUGAUCUCCAAAGUAGCUGGAAACAUGUGACCUCCACAAUGCACAUAUAAAUUUGGAAUUCUGCCUCCAAGCCAGAAUUGCAGGAAUGCACCACGUGUUGCCGAAGACUCUUUCACUGCCCUCUGUGCCCCACUUUCAGCCCUACUGUCAGGGCAAAGAUUGACGAGCAUAUACAGUGGCUUGCAAAAGUAUUCGGCCCCCUUGAACU
Molecule: long non-coding RNA, 683 nt
Organism: Oreochromis aureus
Lineage: Eukaryota; Metazoa; Chordata; Actinopteri; Cichliformes; Cichlidae
Exons: 4
Source: RefSeq, a predicted model, not a curated record